AGUGAACGCUGGCGGUAGGCCUAACACAUGCAAGUCGAACGGCAGCACAGUAAGAGCUUGCUCUUACGGGUGGCGAGUGGCGGACGGGUGAGGAAUACAUCGGAAUCUACUUUUUCGUGGGGGAUAACGUAGGGAAACUUACGCUAAUACCGCAUACGACCUACGGGUGAAAGCAGGGGAUCUUCGGACCUUGCGCGAUUGAAUGAGCCGAUGUCGGAUUAGCUAGUUGGCGGGGUAAAGGCCCACCAAGGCGACGAUCCGUAGCUGGUCUGAGAGGGUGAUCAGCCACACUGGAACUGAGACACGGUCCAGACUCCUACGGGAGGCCGCAGUGGGGAAUAUUGGCCAAUGGGCGCAAGCCUGAUCCAGCCAUACCGCGUGGGUGAAGAAGGCCUUCGGGUUGUAAAGCCCUUUUGUUGGGAAAGAAAAGCAGCAGGUUAAUACCCCGCUGUUCUGACGGUACCCAAAGAAUAAGCACCGGCUAACUUCGUG
This 492-nucleotide ribosomal RNA is filed under the name uncultured bacterium. RNAcentral describes it as "partial 16S ribosomal RNA". It matches the Rfam family "Bacterial small subunit ribosomal RNA", at positions 29 to 507 of the family's 1533-position model. The record is from RNAcentral.